RNAcentral lists this long non-coding RNA (856 nucleotides) under Capra hircus (goat). RNAcentral describes it as "lncRNA (ENSCHIG00000007764.1)". The record is from RNAcentral. Lineage: Eukaryota; Metazoa; Chordata; Mammalia; Artiodactyla; Bovidae.
GGAUCUGAAGGGUGUGCUAUAAAGUCUCACUUGGAUUUUCGUCCUUUUGAUUGGACAGGUUAGGUGCCCCCACCCCCACUGUUGUUUAAGGGUCCCCCACAUGAGUAGAUACAUUAGCUCCUGUGUUGAAAAAUACCAUAGAGAAAAUAACUUUGAUUAUAGGUGUCUUCUGAUUGUCAAAAAUUGUGCUGUUCCUCCACUUGGUGUGAACAAAAAUGGCCUCGCUUGACCAAGAUCUGACAGAGACAGAGGAAGAUCUGACAGGAAGAGUAGAUGCAGCUGUAUGUGGAAAGGACACAAACUGAAAUCGAAAGCAAUAGUGAACAGCCCGAAAAUGAAGCCUUCCAGGGACAGAAAGGAAGCACUCUGUGCAAUUUUGCUGGGCUUGGCAGUGAUGCAAGGAUUUCAGCCCCGACUGCUAACACUUCCUGUACUGAAACCUCAAACAACGUGCCUGCUCCUCAGUCACUGCAAGCAGCAACGUCCAUUGGAGAAGGAGAAAUAAAAGAUUCAUCAGGGUCUGCAUCUGAUUCUGUGUAAAUCUGAGGUGAGGGCUCCUUUGCUGGUCUACAUGAAUAUACCUAUAUUUUGCAUGACUGAUUUUAUGCUCAGCCUUACAAAUUCCACCUGAAUCUGCCCACACCCUCUUCUUCUAUGAUGAACAUUCUCAUGUCAUGAAGAGGGAAGCGUUGUUAGUAUCAAUCCCAUGGGGGCUAAAAAGGAUAGAACAGUGCCCAUGCCCAGGGCCUAGUGACUCUCACUGUAAUGGUAUUUGGUUGGAGAAUGGAUAUUUAAGCUUCAAAAUGUUAAGCCUAGAUUUUAACUGUCCUUAAUGUGAAACUGAUUUAUGCUCUAG